CUACUUGUAACUGGACCUCUGUCCCUCAAUCGAGUUCCUCUGCGUAGAACACACCAAAAAUUCGUCAUUGCCACUUCUACCAAAAUUGAUAUCAGCAGCGUGAAAAUCCCCAAACAUCUCACUGAUGCUUAUUUCAAGAAGAAGAAGUUGCGUAAGCCCAGACACCAGGAGGGUGAGAUCUUCGACACCGAGAAAGAGAAAUACGAGAUUACAGAGCAGCGCAAGGUUGAUCAGAAAGCUGUGGACUCACAAAUUCUGCCAAAAAUCAAGGCUGUUCCUCAGCUUCAGGGCUACCUCCGCUCUGUGUUUUCUCUCACAAAUGGAGUUUACCCUCACAAAUUGGUGUUCUAAAUUUCUUACAAAGAACCUAAUUAAAUAACUGAUCAAUU
This is an RNA transcript of Enhydra lutris kenyoni (northern sea otter), 389 nucleotides long. It is a transcript of the gene named 60S ribosomal protein L6 pseudogene, with no coding region annotated. The record is from RefSeq and is a predicted model, not a curated record. Lineage: Eukaryota; Metazoa; Chordata; Mammalia; Carnivora; Mustelidae. The transcript has a single exon.